This 345-nucleotide unclassified non-coding RNA is filed under the name soil metagenome. RNAcentral's name for it is "partial contains 5.8S ribosomal RNA, internal transcribed spacer 2, and large subunit ribosomal RNA". The stretch from base 1 to 119 matches the Rfam family "5.8S ribosomal RNA", at positions 35 to 154 of the family's 154-position model. The record is from RNAcentral.
GAUGAAGAACGCAGUGAAAUGCGAUACGUAAUGUGAAUUGCAAAUUCAGUGAAUCAUCGAGUCUUUGAACGCACAUUGCGCCCCCUGGUAUUCCGGGGGGCAUGCCUGUCCGAGCGUCAUUGCUGCCCUCAAGCACGGCUUGUGUGUUGGGCCCCGUCCUCCGAUCCCGGGGGACGGGCCCGAAAGGCAGCGGCGGCACCGCGUCCGGUCCUCGAGCGUAUGGGGCUUUGUCACCCGCUCUGUAGGCCCGGCCGGCGCUUGCCGAUCAACCCAAAUUUUUAUCCAGGUUGACCUCGGAUCAGGUAGGGAUACCCGCUGAACUUAAGGAUAUCAAUAAGCGGAGGA